Molecule: ribosomal RNA, 500 nt
Filed under: uncultured bacterium
Lineage: Bacteria
Description: partial 16S ribosomal RNA
Rfam family: Bacterial small subunit ribosomal RNA
Source: RNAcentral
AUUGAACGCUGGCGGCAUGCCUUACACAUGCAAGUCGAACGGCAGCACGGGAGCAAUCCUGGUGGCGAGUGGCGAACGGGUGAGUAAAGUAUCGGAACGUGCCCGGUCGUGGGGGAUAACGUAGCGAAAGUUACGCUAAUACCGCAUACGAUCUAUGGAUGAAAGCGGGGGAUCGCAAGACCUCGCGCGAUUGGAGCGGCCGAUAUCAGAUUAGGUAGUUGGUGGGGUAAAGGCUCACCAAGCCGACGAUCUGUAGCUGGUCUGAGAGGACGACCAGCCACACUGGGACUGAGACACGGCCCAGACCCCUACGGGAGGCAGCAGUGGGGAAUUUUGGACAAUGGGCGAAAGCCUGAUCCAGCCAUGCCGCGUGCAGGAUGAAGGCCUUCGGGUUGUAAACUGCUUUUGUACGGAACGAAAAGGUUUGGCCUAAUAAGCUGAGCUCAUGACGGUACCGUAAGAAUAAGCACCGGCUAACUCUGUGCCAGCCGCCGCGGUAA